GUACUUGGUUCUGCAGUACUUAUACUAAGGUUGAAAUGAUACAGAGAUUAGCAUGGCCCCUGCACAAGGAUGACAGGCAGAUUAAUGAAGCAUUCCAUGUAAAA
This is a small nuclear RNA of Ictidomys tridecemlineatus (thirteen-lined ground squirrel), 104 nucleotides long. The record is from Ensembl. NCBI's taxonomy places the organism in Eukaryota, Metazoa, Chordata, Mammalia, Rodentia, Sciuridae.